AUAAUGAUACUUCCGUCCAGUCACAGACACAAGCAAUGAGGGCGGCUCUAUGAGAACCAUAGAGGGAUGAGAAUUCCAUGA
The submitters of this non-coding RNA (81 nucleotides) gave its source as unclassified sequences. The record is from Rfam.